UGGGGAAUAUUGGACAAUGGACCAAGAGUCUGAUCCAGCAAUUCUGUGUGCACGAUGAAGUUUUUCGGAAUGUAAAGUGCUUUCAGUUGGGAAGAAAAAAAUGACGGUACCAACAGAAGAAGUGACGGCUAAAUACGUGCCAGCAGCCGCGGUAAUACGUAUGUCACGAGCGUUAUCCGGAUUUAUUGGGCGUAAAGCGCGUCUAGGUGGUUAUGUAAGUCUGAUGUGAAAAUGCAGGGCUCAACUCUGUAUUGCGUUGGAAACUGUAUAACUAGAGUACUGGAGAGGUAAGCGGAACUACAAGUGUAGAGGUGAAAUUCGUAGAUAUUUGUAGGAAUGCCGAUGGGGAAGCCAGCUUACUGGACAGAUACUGACGCUGAAGCGCGAAAGCGUGGGUAGCAAACAGGAUUAGAUACCCUGGUAGUCCAUGCCGUAAACGAUGAUUACUAGGUGUUGGGGGUCGAACCUCAGCGCCCAAGCAAACACGAUAAGUAAUCCGCCUGGGGAGUACGUACGCAAGUAUG
This 524-nucleotide ribosomal RNA is filed under the name uncultured bacterium. RNAcentral describes it as "bacterial SSU rRNA". It matches the Rfam family "Bacterial small subunit ribosomal RNA", at positions 355 to 896 of the family's 1533-position model. The record is from RNAcentral.